GACGAACGCUGGCGGCGUGCUUAACGCAUGCAAGUCGAACGAGGUCCAUGCAGUGGCAACACUGCGGAAGACCUAGUGGCGAACGGGUGAGUAACACGUGAGGAACCCACCCCGGAGACCGGGAUAAGCCCUCGAAAGGGGGUCUAAUACCGGAUGCCCUCACCGGAUCGCAUGGUCCGAUGAGGAAAUGGAUUCCGCUCCGGGACGGCCUCGCGGCCUAUCAGCUUGUUGGUGGGGUAACGGCCCACCAAGGCAUAGACGGGUAGCUGGUCUGAGAGGACGGUCAGCCACACUGGGACUGAGACACGGCCCAGACUCCUACGGGAGGCAG
Molecule: ribosomal RNA, 331 nt
Filed under: uncultured Actinomycetes bacterium
Lineage: Bacteria; Bacillati; Actinomycetota; Actinomycetes
Description: bacterial SSU rRNA
Rfam family: Bacterial small subunit ribosomal RNA
Source: RNAcentral